UAGGGAACCUUCCACAAUGGGCGAAAGCCUGAUGGAGCAACGCCGCGUGAGUGAAGAAGGGUUUCGGCUCGUAAAACUCUGUUGUUAAAGAAGAACAUAUCUGAGAGUAACUGUUCAGGUAUUGACGGUAUUUAACCAGAAAGCCACGGCUAACUACGUGCCAG
RNAcentral lists this ribosomal RNA (164 nucleotides) under uncultured bacterium. RNAcentral's name for it is "partial 16S rRNA". It matches the Rfam family "Bacterial small subunit ribosomal RNA", at positions 355 to 511 of the family's 1533-position model. The record is from RNAcentral.